GGACGACGGGCUGUGGGCGAAGCUCUGCGAGACGUCGUAGUCGUCCAGCACCGUCAUGUCCUGCAGCGUGGUCAGAGUGGCCCCCCACGUCUUCUUCACCUGCGCACACCACCCGCGAAUGCCGCGCGUCACUCCGACGAGCGAGGCCAGCCGGGUCUGCAGCUGCGUGAGGCGCAGGGCGAGCUCCGCCUGCACCUGCGGCUGGGAGGCGAUCCGGCUCACCUGGCGGGAGAGGUCGGGUUAUCGGCCCGGACGCGUGACGUCUCGUGACCGCGGCCGGCUCGUACUGACCGUGUCGCCCAUGUGGGCCUGGAAGCUGAAGCGCGGCGGCGGGCAGAAGGCAGUGGGGUAGAGGCCCAGGAGACGUUGGCGGUCGCGGGCGGGGUCCAGACCCUCCACGGCGCCCUCCAGAACCUCCAGACCGGCCCGCCGGGACGCCUCCAGGCUCAGUUCGGCCGACAGUGUGUCACAAAUGUUUCUCGCAACAUCGCAGAAGAGGCUGACGAGGCUGCAAUUGCCGGAAUGGAGCCAGCCUUGCACUCUUGAGGUGUUUUUUGGGGGGGGGCCCAAAGGGCUCACGAUGCAUUGGAGGCUGGUAACCAUGGCGCUCCCUGAAGAGGAAGGGGGGGCGGCGGCGGCAACCCCCACUUCCCACCCGACCCCCAUGACCCUGAACCCCAGACGACCUCGCCCCCAUACCACACCUCCAGCUUCAUGCAGCACUCGGGAUGAACUCCUGGCGUUACCCACAAUGCACACGAUGCAGCGCCAACAUGCUCGCAGGUCCGCACUCUGCCGCAGCCUCCACGCUGACGACGAUGACGACGAGGAGGAGGAGGAGGAGGAGGAAGAGGAGGAGAGCGAGUCAGACGGCAAUUAGCUCCUCUCGUGAGUGCGCACGUCCUGCACGAUGCGCAUGGACGAUGGGGGAAACGUGCGCGCUCACGCACACGCCCACGAGGUCGACACGCAUGCGCACGUGGAAACGCGCCAGAAAAGUGGUCGCCUAUGGGAUUCAGCCUUUUGAGGACGUCGUCAGCCUGCCGAAGCAAAAAGAUGCUGGGUUUUUUUUUUUAUGUAGUUUUCUUGAAAAAGUGGCCACAAAAGUACCAAAAUUUACGAUUAAGUUAUCAGUGUAUUUGGUAGAGUUUGGUAUUUGAUACGUUUGUUUGACUAAAAUGAAAUUAUGUUUUAUUCUAUAAACUACUGACAAAAAUAAAUAUACUGUUCCAUUGUACAUUCUGGAAGUUAUCUUUGUUGUUGCGUUUGAAUAUAUUGGCUAAAUAAAAUUGAGGUGGAAAAUCAACAUUUGUGCAUUUGAUC
This is a long non-coding RNA of Phyllopteryx taeniolatus (common seadragon), 1323 nucleotides long. RefSeq lists it as uncharacterized. The transcript is spliced from 6 exons. Lineage: Eukaryota; Metazoa; Chordata; Actinopteri; Syngnathiformes; Syngnathidae. The record is from RefSeq and is a predicted model, not a curated record.